GACGAACGCUGGCGGCGUGCUUAACACAUGCAAGUCGAACGGAAAGGCCCUGCUUUUGUGGGGUGCUCGAGUGGCGAACGGGUGAGUAACACGUGAGUAACCUUCCCUUGACUUUGGGAUAACUUCAGGAAACUGGGGCUAAUACCGGAUAGGAGCUCCUGCUGCUUGGUGGGGGUUGGAAAGUUUCGGCGUUUGGGGAUGGACUCGCGGCUUAUCAGCUUGUUGGUGGGGUAGUGGCUUACCAAGGCUUUGACGGGUAGCCGGCCUGAGAGGGUGACCGGCCACAUUGGGACUGGGGUACGGCCCAGACUCCUACGGGAGGCAGCGGUGAGAAAUAUUGCACAAUGGGCGGAAGCCUGAUGCAGCAACGCCGCGUGCGGGAUGACGGCCUUCGGGUUGUAAACCGCUUUCGCCUGUGACGAAGCGUGAGUGACGGUAAUGGGUAAAGAAGCACCGGCUAACUACGUG
RNAcentral lists this ribosomal RNA (468 nucleotides) under uncultured bacterium. RNAcentral describes it as "partial 16S ribosomal RNA". It matches the Rfam family "Bacterial small subunit ribosomal RNA", at positions 28 to 507 of the family's 1533-position model. The record is from RNAcentral.